CGGGAGGCAGCAGUUAGGAAUCUUCCACAAUGGGCGAAAGCCUGAUGGAGCGACGCCGCGUGAGGGAUGAAGGCCCUCGGGUUGUAAACCUCUAAAAGGGGGACGAUAAUGACGGUACCCCUUGAAAAGCACCGGCUAACUCCGUGCCAGCAGCCGCGGUAAUACGGAGGGUGCAAGCGUUAUCCGGAAUCACUGGGCGUAAAGGGCGUGUAGGCGGCCUGUUAAGUCCGGUGUUAAAGACCGGGGCUCAACCCCGGCACGGCGUUGGAUACUGGCAGGCUAGACGGCUGGAGAGGAAAGUGGAAUUACCAGUGUAGCGGUGGAAUGCGUAGAUACUGGUAGGAACACCCAUUGCGAAGGCAGCUUUCUGGACAGCCCGUGACGCUGAGGCGCGAAAGUGUGGGGAGCAAACCGGAUUAGAUACCCGGGUAGUCCACACCCUAAAC
RNAcentral lists this ribosomal RNA (446 nucleotides) under uncultured bacterium. RNAcentral describes it as "bacterial SSU rRNA". It matches the Rfam family "Bacterial small subunit ribosomal RNA", at positions 342 to 807 of the family's 1533-position model. The record is from RNAcentral.